UAGGGAAUCUUCGGCAAUGGGGGCAACCCUGACCGAGCAACGCCGCGUGAGUGAAGAAGGUUUUCGGAUCGUAAAGCUCUGUUGUAAGAGAAGAACGUGUGUGAGAGUGGAAAGUUCACACAGUGACGGUAACUUACCAGAAAGGGACGGCUAACUACGUGCCAGCAGCCGCGGUAAUACGUAGGUCCCGAGCGUUGUCCGGAUUUAUUGGGCGUAAAGCGAGCGCAGGCGGUUUAAUAAGUCUGAAGUUAAAGGCAGUGGCUUAACCAUUGUUCGCUUUGGGAACUGUUGAACUUGAGUGCAGAAGGGGAGAGUGGAAUUCCAUGUGUAGCGGUGAAAUGCGUAGAUAUAUGGAGGGACACCGGUGGCGAAAGCGGCUCUCUGGUCUGUAACUGACGCUGAGGCUCGAAAGCGUGGGGAGCAAACAGG
RNAcentral lists this ribosomal RNA (429 nucleotides) under bacterium. Its description in RNAcentral is "partial 16S ribosomal RNA". It matches the Rfam family "Bacterial small subunit ribosomal RNA", at positions 355 to 776 of the family's 1533-position model. The record is from RNAcentral.